Molecule: long non-coding RNA, 1019 nt
Filed under: Toxoplasma gondii VEG
Lineage: Eukaryota; Apicomplexa; Conoidasida; Eucoccidiorida; Sarcocystidae
Source: RNAcentral
AGGACACGGCCGAUCGGCACAGAUGUUGCGCAUCUGGCAGUCGUCGUUCUUCAUACCAAACUUCGACGAAGACAAGGCUCCCGCGCGGCCGCUAAUGCCGGCAGGCUGCUUCUCUCUCGGUGUUCUUAGAUGAAAAGGAGCGCAGCACUGUGGCAACGAUGAGCUUUGCCGCCAUGAAGGUCUCGCCGGUCGCAAAAGAGAGCUGCGUUUACAAACGCCGCGCUCUGACACCGAACAUUCAGAAACAGGCAUCAUGCCUCAGCACUACGCGAAUGGGUGGCAGCCGCGCGCAGAAAUCCGCGCCGAGAUCGGUAGGCGGUGGCUCUUGGGUGUUCAAGGAAAAGCGAGAAAAAGAGCAGUGAUCGUACGAGCAAGGAUGCGUCGGUUGGAGAGAGCGAACAGGAUGCCCUUUUGUGGGAAUGGCCAAGAUCAAAGGGAGACUGCCUCGGAUGAUGCUAUUGUGAACUAAAAUCAUCAAUGGGAUGAGUGAACUGUCCGUUGAUGCAGCCAGAAGUAGAGGAAGGAACUGUGCAAUUCAACACACUCCAGGAUUGCGCCGUCGAAACCAGAGAAUUAGACUAUUAGACGGGGUUGAAGCUCUCUUGCUUUUCGUAGUACUCGAGGGAUGUUGUACAAGGUGAGUUGCGAACACAUGGUGACGCCGGAAACGCCAUCGCCAUUUUCCUGUCAACAGCACUUCAGCCUUACCCUCUUGCUAAACCGCGUAUGGUUUACAAGUGGUAUCCGCAUCGAAGGAUAACUCUGAUUUGGUACUGUCUUCUUUUGCGGGACUGUUGCUUGAACUUUUUUCUGGUGUUCUUCCACAGAAGAGAACCAUCUCAGAGGCGCGGGUGUUGCUCUGAUCAUAAUGGGGUGAAAGGCAGGCAGAAUUUGAAAUUAGCGUCUAGGAUUUCAGCAAACGGUGUUUGCGGCAGUCAGGGGCACAGUGGAGGCUCUACGUUACAAUAAACAGACAACUGUGAUACUUCUCCUUUGGCUGAGAAAUCACAGCAGCGGAG